UACGAAGGGGGCUAGCGUUGCUCGGAAUCACUGGGCGUAAAGCGCACGUAGGCGGCUUUCUAAGUCAGGGGUGAAAUCCUGGAGCUCAACUCCAGAACUGCCUUUGAUACUGGGGAGCUCGAGUCCGGAAGAGGUGAGUGGAACUCCGAGUGUAGAGGUGAAAUUCGUAGAUAUUCGGAAGAACACCAGUGGCGAAGGCGGCGCACUGGUCCGGUACUGACGCUGAGGUGCGAAAGCGUGGGGAGCAAACAGG
Molecule: ribosomal RNA, 253 nt
Filed under: uncultured bacterium
Lineage: Bacteria
Description: partial 16S ribosomal RNA
Rfam family: Bacterial small subunit ribosomal RNA
Source: RNAcentral